AAUGAACGCUGGCGGCGUGCUUAACACAUGCAAGUCGAACGGUGAAGGCGGAGCUUGCUCUGCUGGAUCAGUGGCGAACGGGUGAGUAACACGUGAGCAAUCUGCCCCUGACUCUGGGAUAAGCGCUGGAAACGGCGUCUAAUACUGGAUACGAGCUGCGAAGGCAUCUUCAGCAGCUGGAAAGAAUUUCGGUCAGGGAUGAGCUCGCGGCCUAUCAGCUUGUUGGUGAGGUAAUGGCUCACCAAGGCGUCGACGGGUAGCCGGCCUGAGAGGGUGACCGGCCACACUGGGACUGAGACACGGCCCAGACUCCUACGGGAGGCAGCAGUGGGGAAUAUUGCACAAUGGGCGAAAGCCUGAUGCAGCAACGCCGCGUGAGGGACGACGGCCUUCGGGUUGUAAACCUCUUUUAGCAGGGAAGAAGCGAAAGUGACGGUACCUGCAGAAAAAGCGCCGGCUAACUACGUG
RNAcentral lists this ribosomal RNA (468 nucleotides) under uncultured bacterium. RNAcentral's name for it is "partial 16S ribosomal RNA". It matches the Rfam family "Bacterial small subunit ribosomal RNA", at positions 29 to 507 of the family's 1533-position model. The record is from RNAcentral.